Long non-coding RNA from Lycium barbarum (goji berry), 987 nucleotides. RefSeq lists it as uncharacterized. The record is from RefSeq and is a predicted model, not a curated record. The transcript is spliced from 5 exons. Lineage: Eukaryota; Viridiplantae; Streptophyta; Magnoliopsida; Solanales; Solanaceae.
AUUUUUUAUUUACUUUAUUUUAUUUUAUUUUAUUUACCAAAAAAGACCAGAAGGCUCUGACCCUCUUCACAUGCCCUUUUUUUUUUCCAGAGCCUUCUCAAUUCUAUCUCUAUCAGCAAAAUAUCUACCACCAAAUCAACAAGCUAUCUAUCAUCAACAAGCUAUAAUCUUUAUCAGCACAAGCUAUAAUCUUUAUCACCAAAUCUCUAUCAACACAAGCUAUAAUCUCUAUCAGCAAAUCUUUAUCAACAAAUCAACAAGCUAUAUAUCAAAAAUAAAAAUAAAUCUAUCUGUAUCUCAGACCGUUGCUGCAAUUUUCAGGUUUCUGAGCUAAUUGGAGUAGUCUUUUAAUUGAUAGGCACAUAUAUAACUUAAGUGGUACUCUGUUAGUUUGAAACCUCAGUAGCUUUUGCCGAAGUUUGAUACAAUUAGCCAAGACGGUAAAAGAGAACCUAAAUGAUCAGGGAAUCAUCCCCCGGCCUCCAGGCGGGAUCCAAACCAUUUUUGCAGAGACAUCCGAUUAGCUGCUAGGAGACAUGAGCAUUUUAUGCAAGGAAAGCACAGAUUUGGACUCAUGUAACUUACAUCAAGUUUACCAAGUUUACCAAGCAAAGGCUGGAAAUAGCUUAUGUUACAAUGACUGCCAAAUCUGAGAUUUUUUUUCCCUUUAUUUUAGCUAGGUGGACACACAAAUUCUGAAUCUGAGGAAUAAGACAUGCAUAAAAGACAAAAAGCUUGACAAGAAGUGUCUUGAAGAGGUCAUGAAAGAGUUUCAUCUUGCAAGAGCAUUCUUCUGUUCAAGUGUCAAUCUCAUGCAGAUGUUGGAGCACCUAUAAUCUUUCUACUUGUGUCUUUCUAGCAAGUUAUCUAUGUAACUUUGUUCCACAAACUAUGUCUCUGUUUUAACUUUGUUCCACAAAUGAAUGUAAUGUAGUAUGAAGCAUGUCAUGUUAACAGAUACAUAGAUUGUAUUUAUCUACACUAUAA